This is a long non-coding RNA of Eubalaena glacialis (North Atlantic right whale), 2862 nucleotides long. RefSeq lists it as uncharacterized. The transcript has 12 exons. Lineage: Eukaryota; Metazoa; Chordata; Mammalia; Artiodactyla; Balaenidae. The record is from RefSeq and is a predicted model, not a curated record.
AGCGGGCCGAGCGCGUGCGGCCGCCGAGCACAUGGGCCCGCGGGCCGGGCGGACUCCAGGCGGCCGGGACCCGGAGGACCAGCGAGAGGCCGCGAGCGAGGAUGGGCCCCGGCACGCGCCCGGAGCCCCCUGAGUGGAUUUCCACGCCGAAAGGCUGUUGGCGGCCCCGGUGACCUGCGGAGACGCGGUUGGAUCCACCUUCCAGCUUGAUCUUUUGACCAGAAAGGAAUUAAAAAGAUGGUCCCUCGUGAUGGCUGCGCCUGUCAGCUGCGUGGAGCUUCCUUGAAGGAUUUUCUGAGCCGUGUGGAUGUACAGUGAUUCUCGGCCGCCUGAGGAAUAACGCUGGUGGAAGCACUCUCUCCAAUGACACACGCCUGCCCCAUUUCUGGAUGCUAAAGGUGGUUUUAGGAAGGCCCUGGCUGAGUGCCUCGCGGAUUCCUGCAGCCUGGAUGCCCCUGGUGGACGGAGGACUGAAGCUUCCUGCCCUUGCUGCCGACAGGAGUGUUCGGUUGGGGCUCUGCCAGCUCCCUUGGGGGCUCCCUGUGAAACCAUCCUGUUCCACCUGGGAUUUAAGUGCCUUUAAUUUGAAAAAAAAAAAUACGUAUCCAGUCAAUACUCCAGAGGGACUUGAAAACUGUUCUUCCCUGAACUAAAGCUGGAAUAUCAUGGGAUGUGAAGAAUCAAGGCCGGGCUGAGGUUUCAGAGGCAUUCCGAGCUCCUGUGGAGCCUUGCUUCUCUCCAGCCUUGGGCUCUCUGAACUCUUGGACAUCUCAGGGCCCAGAAGAAAAAGAAGAAAGCCAACCAGUUCUGGGAGCAGCCUGGGUGAAGAGAGAUAAAGAAACAAAAGUUCAAGGAGGGUCACCGUAACUGUUCUCUCUUUGGUCCCUCUGCCUCCAUUUUGGACACUGCAGGCCUUGCAAUUUCUGCCUUCACCCUUUUGGAAUGCUUCAGAUAUCAUGAAAAGAAGCCCACACUAGCCUACUGGAGGCCUCCUGGAGAGAAAGACCCAACCGCCAGCCAACAGCAACCACUAGAUGCCUGAGUGAGACCAUCCGGGACCAGCCAGCCCCCAGGUGAACAUCAGCUGGUUACAAAUGUAUCAGUGAGUCCAGCCAUGACCACCGUGAGAAGAAGAGCUUCCUAGCUGAGCCCUGCUCAAAUCACCAGCCCACAGAAUUAGGAAUUAAAGAACUGGUUAAUGUUUCAAGCCGGAUGAGAAAUCCAAGAGUGGGAGUACCAAUCCACGCUACAGUCUCAAAUGUGUGGAGCAUCCGCUAUGGACUGGGUGCUGGGAAUAUACAGCAAUGAAUCAUCCUUCAGUGAGCCUGCAGCUAGCAGGGAAGAUAAGGCCAGUCCAUGAAUUCCCAGAACACCAGGCAGGAAGUUAUAAGAAGAAUAUGUAUAAAUAGAGGGUUCCAUAUAAAGCUCAGAGGAGGGAAAGGCUAUAUUAAGCUGGAGCAAUCAGAAAAGACAUUUUGGAGCAUUUGCUAUGUGAUUUGGACCUUGGAAACGAGAAAGAUUUGAAUAAGUGAAGAUGGUUUAGAAAGUGGAAGAGUGUUGAUGCCAGAAGUUCAUUCCAUGCAAAGCCAAGGAGGUGGAAGAGAGCUGGGCUUUCAGAGAGAACAAAGAGACUCAGCUUAGCGAGAGCAAGGAGGAGCUGAAGAAAUAAAAGGAGGAAAGAUGGAUCAGGGCCAGAGAAAUCAUAGAGCUUUGCUAAUGUCAUGCUCCCGGAUGGCUUUUUAAACGUGGAAGUUACAGAUACAUGAGCAGUAAAAGAAAACUGUACAUGAGAAUGAAGAUAAAGAAUUACCUUUAUUUGGACAUUUUCUAUGUAAGACGGUAUUAUGUUGGCCAGAGAUGGAUCUUGACUCCUGGGCUGAUCAGACUCUAAUUAGAUCCUGAGUCCCACCACCUAUCACAGCUUUUCUCAAAUGCUUUCCCAGUGCAGUGACUGCCACAUGUUGUUGGGAUUUUGGUCCAAGCCACAGAAGAAGACAGUGAAGCUAAGUGAUGCAGGAAGUAAACUCAUGACCUUAGAUUCGGGAAACUGGUGCACCAACCACUGAGAAACCAGAGAUGGAGGAUUUUUGCACAAGCAUGAGCAGAGUAUAAAUCAACAUCUCUGCCUUCAACAAAAUCCGCAUCCAAACUGCGUAUCGUGAGCAGACCUAUCGAGAAAUCCACGUGGUUAAGUAACUGAUGACUCUGAUCCAUAGCCAGCAAAGACCUGAGACCUGCCAAUAGCCAGAUGGCACACUAAAUGACAGAAGAUAAUUUGGUAGCAUCUAUAGAGUUUCAGGAAGAAAAGGAUGUGAUCCUGGAAUGUUCCAUAUAUGUUCCUGUGAACAUUCACGUAUGCAGUGAACAGGAUGAUAUCACUGGAUAUGCAAAGGAGACAAAAUAUAUUAUCUGCAGUCCCUCCUUGAAAAACUUCUUUAAGACACAUUUGCAAACUGAGUAAUGAAACACAAGAGCUCAGAAUUAGAUGGUCACGAUAUAGAAGGACAGUGAGCAGUGAUGACAAUUAAAGAAGAGAUAAACUUCAAUGUCACCAUUAUGGUUAUAAAAAGGAAUUAAAGCCUGAAAUUCAUUCAGGAUACAGAAUGCUUAUAAUAUAUAAAAUAGUAGUGUCAUAACUAUGAGCUGGAUCCCAAAACUUCAAAGAAUUAUUAACAAAGACUGGGAAGUACAUGAGACGGUGUGUGGAAAAGAAAAAUAAAGUGCUGCGCUCAUUGUCUUACAGAGGGCCUAUGAAUUUCAUCCUUGUAAUGUGUUUAUAGAUUUUAGUUUUCUUUAGGUGUACAUGUAUUUUCUAUUUUUUCUAACUCAGAUAAGUAUUUACUUGAUUAAUAAAGAAACAGU